CGGCCCUUCGGGGCGGCGCGCGGGCAACGGCGGCACGCGGGCAACGGCGGGCCAGGGGCGGCGGGCAACGGCCGCGCGCGGUUUCCUGUCGUGUGCUUUCUUCUUCCUAACAUGCCGAGGCACCGUACCGAUUUCAGCCUUGGUUUCGCUACGCGGAGCACACCGUGGGUGUUUAAUCAGGAAGGGGCUGAUGGCAGAGUGCUUUUUAAAGUUCCUGGGAUUCUGCAAAAUUAAGACCAAACUAAUUCUGAUUCAGGUUUGAGUCAUGUGUUUGUCAACCCAGCAAGUGGCUUCAUGCUGGGAACUAGGUAGGGGGGGAAAAUUGACACGUAGGUAUCUGCCAACUUUUGUAAAUUCCAAGGAAUUGAAGAGAAGUUUCUGGUUUUUUUCAAACUGUUCAACUUGAUCUUGGAAAGUCAGCACUGCUAGCCACAGGAAACCACGUGAUUCCUAUGUCUGAGACAUUCAGAAAAGUACCACGUACUCAGCAAGUUUGGAAAGACUCAUUUAUCCACUCCCUUGCAGUCCACAGGCACUGAGACUGUUGCAAAGAUGCCAAGGGAAAAUGGUACUUUUUCCAAAGCCUGGACAGGUUUUUUGUCUUUCCUUAUCCUGAAUGCUGUGUAAAGGGAUGCAGGCUAAGGAAGGAGGCAACUCUUCAUCGCUUCCAUUGAGUAAUAUCUAUAAAAUGAAGCAGGAGGCCCCCUCCUUCCCUCUGGCAGGAUGAUACCAUCUGUGAUGCAGCUGAGGAGCCACGUUACAGCACUGUUGCUUUUACCCAUUACCACCUGUAGGAGCCUUUUCUCAAUUGCCGCUGAUGCUUUAGGAUUUAAAGGAGGAAGAUGCACUCGACCUCUGCUUGAAUUGAAUCUCCUCCAAGUAUGCUUUUCCUGGUGAGAUGAGCAGCCCGGUGGCAUUCUUACGAGAUUAGGUUUGCAUUCUACCAUAUACAGGACUUAAAAAUGCAAUUGCUAAUGCAGGCAGCUGUCCCAGCACUCACGGUGGGGACUUUUCAAAAACAAACACGAGGGAAGCCAAAAUGCCAGGUUUUGCAUCUGCUCUUUGAUCUUAGCAUUAGGCGUGACUUCCUCCUAGUUAUGUUUCCUGACAAGUCACAUGUGUUGUCUUUAUCCAGGCCAAGCAGCUGUACAACAUAAUAUGUUAUGGCCAGGAGGCUCUGCAUUGAACCCAUUGACAUCCUCCUUCCUGUGCUCCUCCUCAGAGCCAAGGGCACGUUCACGCUUCCACCUCAGUAACCGCUGUGCUGUUCCUUACCUCAGCACUGAACCUGAAGAACUGGGGAGGAGUCACGGGGAACAAGGCAGGCUGGGUGAGGUAGCUUCGAGGGCAUGAAACACCAUGUGGGGAAAGGGUGGGAGGCUCUCGAAGGCUACUCAUCAUCAAUGGAAACUGAAAGAAGCAGCUGCCAGCACGCUGGGCUCCUGAGGCGGGACUUUUUUGUAAGAGAUCUUCUUCAGGUGUUACUUCUUACGCGCACAUAGCUAAUCUGUGCAGGGAGUGUGAUCCUGCUCAUCUCCACAGGCCCUCCAUCCAGGGCUGGUGCAGCUCAUUGCCAAAGUGAGCAAUACAGAAACGCCUCCUAGGAGACUGGUGGUUCUGUCCAUAGUUUAUAAAAUAGCAGAACCUCUGGGUCCCUAAUUGAGGUCAGGGGCUAACAAGUUUGCAGUGUAAUUAAAAGCUGUGAUGAAGUGUUGUAAGGCUGGCUUCCUGAGCUAUGGAUGGGAGCUGACCUCCUGUGUCUCCAAGUCCAGCGGUCAAUUUCCAUAUAUUCGUUUCUCUUCUGGCAUCACAGAAAUCCUUGUGGACUGGCCUUUUGACACCAGAGAGAUCCCUCCUGGCUAACCACAGCUUUCUCCCACUACUCUCUGAAAGCAAGAGACCACAAGGACAGGAAGAGGUGUAUGGUUUGAAACGGCCUCCAAGAAGUGCCGACCUACUGAGCUACACGGAUGAAACGAAGUCGUGAGCUGUGUCGCUCCUGAGCGCAGCCUGCUAUCUCCAGCCUCCAGGCCCUGGGGCCCACCCCCCAGCGCCAGCCACGUUACAAACACGAGGGUUUAUCCUUUGUUUUGAAAAUGGUUGGGUGCAGGAAAAGAAGACUCGUUCGGGAUUUCCCCUGCCUGGGAUUUCCCACAACUUCCUGUGUUUUCUGCUUUUGAAAAAAAAAAAAAAAAAAAGGCACGAAGUCUUAUGAUUUCUGUUUACUCAGUGACAGCAUUGCUGCUGUCUGGGUGUCAUUCCUUCAGGCAUCAAGCUCCUGAUGUUUACUGAACCCAGCACCCACCACUUGGGGUGAACACUGACCCUUUUCACACGGGAGAUACCCAGAUGCCUUGUCUUGACACAUGAGCUGGUGAGCUUGAACCUCUGAAUCCUUCCAGUCAGUUCAAGGGGCACAGCUCUGGAGCGCCACAUCCCUUAAGCUGGCAGAGUGCAGAUGAGACAGGGCAUGGAGUGGUGGGGGUUUAAAACAACACAAAAAGUCAGCACAGAAACAGAAAUGUCAUUCAUUCCUUAUUUUACUGAAUGCUGCUAUACCACUGUCAGGUGUUCACGCUAGGACUGCAGGCUAAGAAAGUGAGCUACAGCUACAGAAAUGAAGUCUUAGUUCCUACAAUUCAAUUUACAUUACUUUCAGCCCUUCUGGGCCAUUACUUGUAAUUUCUCUUCACAGAGAAGCUGAAGAAACAAUGUAAAAUGUGGAGAGAGGAACCAUGUAUUUGUGUUGUAUCAAGAUCGAUUUGUUUGUAUCUCAGGUAAGAUGGGCUCUGAGUGUU
Long non-coding RNA from Falco peregrinus (peregrine falcon), 2798 nucleotides. RefSeq lists it as uncharacterized. The transcript is spliced from 3 exons. The record is from RefSeq and is a predicted model, not a curated record. Lineage: Eukaryota; Metazoa; Chordata; Aves; Falconiformes; Falconidae.